CAGCUUUAUACAGCCUUUGGGCAGAGUGAUUGAGAAAUUGGGAGAGAUAUACCAAAAACUUCUCUUCUCUUUGUUGAAGAAAAAGAAAGGAUCACCUACCCUUUUCCCCUUCCCCUGUUUUCUUUUUGCAUUUGGACUUCUUUUCACUUCAUCUUCUCAAGUUUUUUUCUCUGCUGAAGCUUGAAGAUGGGUGACAAGGAUGAAGUUUUGGAAGCUGUUGUGAAG
Molecule: unclassified non-coding RNA, 225 nt
Filed under: Hevea brasiliensis (rubber tree)
Lineage: Eukaryota; Viridiplantae; Streptophyta; Magnoliopsida; Malpighiales; Euphorbiaceae
Source: RNAcentral